Long non-coding RNA from Armigeres subalbatus, 308 nucleotides. RefSeq lists it as uncharacterized. The transcript is spliced from 3 exons. NCBI's taxonomy places the organism in Eukaryota, Metazoa, Arthropoda, Insecta, Diptera, Culicidae. The record is from RefSeq and is a predicted model, not a curated record.
UAGUAGCGACCGGUAAAGUGUCAAGUAAUGAUACUGCGCUGACAAACGGCCUAUACUCACCACCGAAAUGAAGCUUAUGAUAAAUAAAAUACUGCUGCUUGCUGGUCACUGAUUGAAGAUCGUUCAGUGGCUACCAUUGGCCAAUCUCACCAACGGGAUAUAAUAAGAACUGAUGCAGGUUUAUAUCUAUUCGGAACAAAGUUAGUACACUUUUUAAACCGAUGUUGGAUUUUUCUCCAGAUACAGGCAACCCACUUAACUUUGGAAGUAGUGCGCUGGAUUCGUCUAAAGAUAUGUUAAACAUCCGG